This is a long non-coding RNA of Lycium barbarum (goji berry), 433 nucleotides long. RefSeq lists it as uncharacterized. NCBI's taxonomy places the organism in Eukaryota, Viridiplantae, Streptophyta, Magnoliopsida, Solanales, Solanaceae. The record is from RefSeq and is a predicted model, not a curated record. The transcript is spliced from 2 exons.
AUUCAAAAGUUUAUAAUAAUUCUUUUUUAUAGAAAGUGUAUUAGUAAGCAUAAAAUAUGGCCAAAAUUGCUAUGAAGUUUGCUUUCUUUGUUGCUUUGUUGCUGAUCACCAUGGUUGCAGAUUUCUCAUCCAGCAAGGUGGCAGCGGCGAACCAUUGUAAAUCUAAUGAUGAUUGUCAUUGUGUUGUGGGUCUCAAACCUGUUUGUUUUUUGCAUUUUUGCACUUGCUGGUCCAACUCAAUGUCUGAACUGGCUUCCGUACAUGGCGUGAAACCCAAGAAUUGAUGUCGGGAUAAAAAUUAUUUGCGCUCGAUGUUUACAUUUACAUUUAAGGGGAAGGGGAUAAGAUUUUAUUUUUGAUGUAUUGACUCUUGUAUGUGUAUGUUUCGAUUUCCUAAAUGAAUAUGGACUUCAAACUUUUAUGUUGAGUAAUA